RNAcentral lists this long non-coding RNA (303 nucleotides) under Androctonus crassicauda. Lineage: Eukaryota; Metazoa; Arthropoda; Arachnida; Scorpiones; Buthidae. The record is from RNAcentral.
AUUUAUCAAAUAAAAAUUUAAUGUUUAAAUAAAUUUCUUAUUUUGACAUACUAUAAAACUUAUAUUUUAUUUAUGCUUAUGACUUAUUUUUUACUUUUGCUUAUGAAAAACUUAUGGUCACCAUUGUGGCCAUCAGAAGUUACUGCUGUCUGCAUUGAUAGCCACAUAAAAAUUUUUCUUGAGAAUUCCUUCCCUAGAAAUUCCAAUAUUAUAUAUAUACUUCUUUCAAAUUGGAUGAUGAUAACCCAAAAUAUUGGGUUGUUAAAUGAUAACCCAAAAAAACAAGGAACAAUUUAAUUUAAC